GUCUGGGAGAAUCAUAGUGAAUGGUUAAUCAGGUUACAAUCUGGACAGACAUUCUAACAUUCCAUAUUCCAAAGUUCUUAUAUCCUUCUUACCUUAAAUACAAUGAAUUUCUGUCAUUGUACUCCUCAUGGGUUUCCAUUGGGACUAAUUUUUAGACAACAGGCUUAUUAAACAACUAGAAAUAAGUCCAACUGAUCAAAGUAACCAGAGGUUUUGUAAGGUACAUGGAGACGUAAUCAAUACGGAUCUAACACCCACUCAUAAUGCUUUGGAAUUGAACCGAAAGAUCAUUUUGAAGGAAAAUAAUACAUAAGGGGUACUGCUCUUACUGCUAAUGUCAAACCCCUUUUCAGGGAAAGAAAGAGAAAACUAAGAAAACAAAUUUGUCUCUGAAGAGAUGGAAAUGAUAGGUACAUUAGACCAUUAAAGCCUUCCUGUUGUCUGUGCCUUACUCAUUUACCAAGGCACUGCUCUUGUGCGUCUGUUGUCAUCCAUUAUUUAUGCAUCUUAUUCAUGCCGCUGCAAACAGUGCCAGUGGUAUGCAUUCUUUGUUACCGUGUUUUUUCAGACAGUGUAAAUAAAUAAGCAGAAAUUCAGACCAUC
This is a long non-coding RNA of Herpailurus yagouaroundi (jaguarundi), 603 nucleotides long. RefSeq lists it as uncharacterized. The record is from RefSeq and is a predicted model, not a curated record. The transcript has 2 exons. Lineage: Eukaryota; Metazoa; Chordata; Mammalia; Carnivora; Felidae.